Molecule: ribosomal RNA, 448 nt
Filed under: Helix lucorum
Lineage: Eukaryota; Metazoa; Mollusca; Gastropoda; Stylommatophora; Helicidae
Description: partial large subunit ribosomal RNA
Rfam family: Archaeal large subunit ribosomal RNA
Source: RNAcentral
UCGCCUGUUUACCAAAAACAUAGCUAUAUGUACUAAUAUAUAGUUAUUUCUGCUCCAUGAUUAUUAAAUAGCCGCAGUACUCUGACUGUGCAAAGGUAGCAUAAUCAGUUGGCUUUUAAUUGGAGUCUGGUAUGAACGAACACAUGGGUGCGACUGUCUAAAUAUAUUUUUCCUAACUUUUUAAUCAAGUGAAAAUACUUGUGCUAAUAAAAAAGACGAGAAGACCCUAGAAACUUGAAAAGUUUUUUGUUGGGGCGACAGAGUUACAUGUAACUAAUUUUAUUAAACAUGACAUUAAUUAGAAAGGAUAAGUUACUCUAGGGAUAACAGCAUAAUUUUAAUAGUUUGUGACCUCGAUGUUGGAUUAGGUACUAUACCCUUUAGGCAAGGGUAUAAGAUGCUCUGUUCGAGCAAAUACACCUACGUGAUCUGAGUUCAGACCGGACGC